GGACAAGUCCCAUACAACCAGCUCCUGGUGAACCCCCCCAGAUCCGGAAGGAAGCAAGGGUAUCCGGUCGUAGCGGUGUGAUAUGGUAAGCUUGUCCCUU
Molecule: signal recognition particle RNA, 100 nt
Filed under: Flavobacteriales bacterium
Lineage: Bacteria; Pseudomonadati; Bacteroidota; Flavobacteriia; Flavobacteriales
Description: signal recognition particle sRNA small type
Rfam family: Bacteroidales small SRP
About the family: The non-coding component of the signal recognition particle in Bacteroides
Source: RNAcentral